This 486-nucleotide ribosomal RNA is filed under the name uncultured soil bacterium. RNAcentral describes it as "bacterial SSU rRNA". It matches the Rfam family "Bacterial small subunit ribosomal RNA", at positions 26 to 525 of the family's 1533-position model. The record is from RNAcentral.
AGAUUGAACGCUGGCGGCAUGCCUUACACAUGCAAGUCGAACGGUAGAGUAGCAAUACUUGAGAGUGGCGAACGGGUGAGUAAUAUAUCGGAACGUGCCCAGUCGUGGGGGAUAACGUAGAGAAAUUUACGCUAAUACCGCAUACGAUCUAAGGAUGAAAGCGGGGGACUCGCAAGAGCCUCGCGCGAUUGGAGCGGCUGAUAUCAGAUUAGGUUGUUGGUGGGUAAAAGCCUACCAAGGCGACGAUCUGUAGCUGGUCUGAGAGGACGACCAGCCACACUGGAACUGAGACACGGUCCAGACUCCUACGGGAGGCAGCAGUGGGAAUUUUGGACAAUGGGCGCAAGCCUGAUCCAGCAAUGCCGCGUGCAGGAUGAAGGCCUUGGUUGUAACUGCUUUGUACGACGAACGUUCUCUCUAAUACAGGGCUAAUGACGUACCGUAAGAAUAAGCACGGCUAACUACGUAGCCAGCAGCCGCGUAACG